UCAGAACUUUUUCUCUCACUAAUCAAUUUUCCUCCUAUUUUAUUUCCAAUGAUUUAGCAGUUGAUUUCAAGUUUACAUUUCAAAGUUCACUCUCAAAAUAGAUGUUGAUUGAGCUGAAAACGGAUCUAGACAAGUUCACGAUCAGUUUUUUGAGCUAGCAAUGGCGAAGGUAAGGUUUGAAACCGACAAGAAGAAGAAGAACAAAGAUGUAUCAUCUUCUAAAGCCAUUGUUGAAACAAACCAUAAAAGGGGGUAGAAAACCUGGAUCUACAACUUCUCGCCCAACACUACCCAAGACUUACUUGAGGUGCCUAAGUGAAAAAUGGUGUCAACUAUCGGGGGCUGCUGAUGAGUUCCGCCUUUGUUUGCAUAUCUAUGUAUCAUCAAGACAUAUACAUUAGUGAUGUUCCAAGUGUUUCAUAGUCGGUAUAUAGCAGGUACACAUUUUAUUAUUUUUCAAUUGAUGGUCAUUUUAUUUCUAUGUAGACUAUGAAAUAUUUUAUAAAACAAAUUUCAGCUCACUCAUUAAGGUUUGGUUCAACCUACAAAAUUAGUUUUAUAGAUGAUUUGAAGUUCUCUAUAAGGGUUGAAGGUAUCGAGUUAUUCAAGAAAACCAUAUUUUGGUCAUACCUCAACAUUCCUAAUUGUAACUAUCAAGGCAAAAUCACAAAGUGUUUGAUGCUUCUUGAGUUGGAGCAGGGCAACAAAGAUGAACUGCACAUACGUCAUGCAAGAGGGAACACACUGCAUUUUAGUAUCAGGGAAUUUUCUAUUGUAACAGGACUAAAAUGCAUAGGCAAUGUUGAUGAUUUUAAAUAUCCAGAAUCUACUUUGAGUAGAUUGUUUGAAAGGUACUUCCCCGGUUCAAGAAAAAGCAUUAGCAAGGGACGUUUGGCUCAACGACUAGAGUUGGGAGGAUGGGAAAACAAUCAACAUGCCGUCCAAAUGGCAAUCUUAUACUUUAUUCACACAUUCAUUUUUCUCAACUUGGUGAUACAUUGAUACCUAUCGAUGAUUUCUUAAUGGUGGAAGAUGGAAGAUAUGAGCAGUUCCCCUGGGGACAACUUGCUUUCUCCAAGUUGAUGAAAUCAUUGAGGCAAGAGUUCACGAAGGAAAAACAGAUGUAGCGGCUAGCCGACAUGCCCUAUGCUCUAAAUGUCUGAAUUUACGAAUGUGCUUCCGAAGUCAAUAAAAAAAUUGCCGUCCAGGAGGAAAAUUAUAUCCCUAGGUUAUGCAACUGGCGUGCUGUGGCUGUCAAGCCAAAAGCAGAAAUGCUUAUGUCAAGCAUUUUUACAGAGACUGAGUGCACUGAUAUUCAAGCAACAGCGGAGGAACUGCAAUACUUGAAUUGCCUGCUACUUUGGGUUAUUCACCUUCUGAACCUUCCACAUUAACUGCCAAGACAAAGAAGGUGCAAACAAGAGAACUUCCCAAGGACAAGAUUGUUAUACCAGAAGACCCGUCUGAUUUUGAUGAUUUUUCGACAAGACCUCCGGAUGAGUUGUUAAGGAGAUCAAAAAGUCUUUCCAGUUCAGUAUCUACACCACCACCAAAGAGAAGAAAGAAAGUCCAUCGACCUAAGGCUUCUGUACCGAAAAAUAAACAAUCUGAAGAAGCUCCGACUCCACCGAAGCAACCAUUGCCAACUUCAGAUGAACCACCGAAUACCAAUGUUAAUGUAUCUCAUGUACAAAUUCCUUCAUCUAAUCCUCAGGGACAUUCAGUCAAGUCCGAUGUUGAAAAAGUUCAGAAAUAUCUAAAGAAAUAGGUUGACAAAAAAUUUGAAGAUCUUCAGAUUUUGAUAUAAACAAAGCAUAUCGAGUUGAUGAACGUUGUUCGGAAGCAAGAUAUUCAAGUUGAGAAGGGUCAUAAUACUUUCAUGGAUCAACAAGAUCAUAAGCAUGUGCAAUCAGAAGAUAUUGCAAACAUCAAAAUUGUGACAGAACAAGAUAUCACAGCUUCAGAAGAUAUUACAUCUAAGAAUGAUCAAGAUAUGGUUGAUGUAUCAAAAAUACCUUCCACAGCAGGACGUUCCAGUACAGGGUGUGCCCGAAUGUUCUGAACAAGUAUCAGCGGAGAAAAAUCUACAAGUUGAACAAGCUGUUAUUAACAAAAUAUUGGUAAUUGCAAAAUUCUUUAUAAGAUGUAUUUACAUAUCAUUCUAACCAAUCACAUAUUCGUUUUUAGGAGGUUCCGGUACAAGAAUUGCCCAAAUCAUCUGAACAGGAAUCAUUGAACGAAUAUGUAUCAGUGGAACAAACUGAUAUCAACAAAGUAUUGAUAAAUACUCAGACUUUAAUCUCCAAAUUUAAUAUGUCAUUCUAAUCACCAUGUUUACUUUUCAGGAUGAUGCUGCACUUGAAAUAGUAAUUCCAUCUAAAGAAGUAUCACCUGAUAAAGUCGUUUCUGAUACAGAGCAUAGUAAUGUCCUUCAAUCAAUUGCACCUCCAGCAAUGAUUGAUACAUCGAUAAUCAUUUAUAUCGAUUUACUUCUUAUUUAUCAGCACACCAUUAGACAUAAUUCU
Solanum dulcamara is the source of this 2525-nucleotide long non-coding RNA. RefSeq lists it as uncharacterized. The record is from RefSeq and is a predicted model, not a curated record. The transcript is spliced from 7 exons. Lineage: Eukaryota; Viridiplantae; Streptophyta; Magnoliopsida; Solanales; Solanaceae.